GUUGUAUAGUCAAGUAAUUAAGUGCAUGUGGUGGAUGCCUUGGCAGUCAGAGGCGAUGAAAGACGUGAUAGCCUGCGAAAAGCUCCGGGGAGGCGGCAAAUAUCCUUUGAUCCGGAGAUGUCUGAAUGGGGGAACCCACCUACUUUAAGGUAGGUAUUGCAACAUGAAUACAUAGUGUUGCAAGGCGAACGAGGGGAAGUGAAACAUCUCAGUACCCUUAGGAAAAGAAAUCAAUUGAGAUUCCCUCAGUAGCGGCGAGCGAACGGGGAUCAGCCCAUUAAGUUAUGUGUGUUUUAGUGGAACGCUCUGGGAAGUGCGAACGUAGAGGGUGAUAUUCCCGUACACGAAAGGGCACACAUAAUGAUGACGAGUAGGGCGAGGCACGUGAAACCUUGUCUGAAUAUGGGGGGACCAUCCUCCAAGGCUAAAUACUCCUGACUGACCGAUAGUGAACCAGUACCGUGAGGGAAAGGCGAAAAGAACCCCUGUGAGGGGAGUGAAAUAGAUCCUGAAACCGCAUGCAUACAAGCAGUGGGAGCACCUUCGUGGUGUGACUGCGUACCUUUUGUAUAAUGGGUCAGCGACUUAUAUUCAGUAGCGAGGUUAACCGUAUAGGGGAGCCGUAGAGAAAUCGAGUCUUAAUAGGGCGUUUAGUUGCUGGGUAUAGACCCGAAACCAGGCGAUCUAUCCAUGAGCAGGUUGAAGGUUGGGUAACACUAACUGGAGGACCGAACCCACUGUCGUUGAAAAGCCAGGGGAUGACUUGUGGAUAGGGGUGAAAGGCUAAUCAAGCCUGGUGAUAGCUGGUUCUCCCCGAAAGCUAUUUAGGUAGCGCCUCGGACGAAUACCAUAGGGGGUAGAGCACUGUUUCGGCUAGGGGGUCAUCCCGACUUACCAAACCGAUGCAAACUCCGAAUACCUAUGAGUAUUAUCCGGGAGACAGACUGCGGGUGCUAACGUCCGUAGUCAAGAGGAAAACAAUCCAGACCGCCAGCUAAGGCCCCAAAAUCAUAGUUAAGUGGGAAACGAUGUGGGAAGGCAUAGACAGCUAGGAGGUUGGCUUAGAAGCAGCCACCCUUUAAAGAAAGCGUAAUAGCUCACUAGUCGAGUCGGCCUGCGCGGAAGAUGUAACGGGGCUAAAACUAUGUGCCGAAGCUGCGGAUGUAUACUUUGUAUACGUGGUAGGGGAGCGUUCUGUAAGCCGAUGAAGGUGUGUUGAGAAGCAUGCUGGAGGUAUCAGAAGUGCGAAUGCUGACGUGAGUAACGACAAAACGGGUGAAAAACCCGUUCGCCGAAAGACCAAGGGUUCCAGUCCAACGUUAAUCGGGGCUGGGUGAGUCGACCCCUAAGGCGAGGCCGAAAGGCGUAGUCGAUGGGAAAAUGGUUAAUAUUCCAUUACUUCUGUGUAAUGCGAUGAGAGGACGGAGAAGGCUAAAUCAGCCUGGCGUUGGUUGUCCAGGUGAAAGGAUGUAGGCAUGUAUCUUAGGCAAAUCCGGGGUACUCUAUGCUGAGAUCUGAUAGCAAGCUGUACUUGUACAGCGAAGUGGUUGAUGCCAUGCUUCCAGGAAAAGUCUCUAAGCUUCAGUUACACAGGAAUCGUACCCGAAACCGACACAGGUGGUCAGGUCGAGUAGACCAAGGCGCUUGAGAGAACUCUGCUGAAGGAACUAGGCAAAAUGGUACCGUAACUUCGGGAGAAGGUACGCUGUUGUUGGUGAUGGAACUCGCUUCCUGAGCUGACGACAGCCGCAGAAACCAGGCCGCUGCAACUGUUUAUUAAAAACAUAGCACUCUGCAAACACGAAAGUGGACGUAUAGGGUGUGAUGCCUGCCCGGUGCUGGAAGGUUAAUUGAUGGGGUUAGCGUAAGCGAAGCUCUUGAUCGAAGCCCCAGUAAACGGCGGCCGUAACUAUAACGGUCCUAAGGUAGCGAAAUUCCUUGUCGGGUAAGUUCCGACCUGCACGAAUGGCAUAAUGAUGGCGGCGCUGUCUCCAGCAGAGGCUCAGUGAAAUCGAAAUCGCUGUGAAGAUGCAGUGUACCCGCGGCUAGACGGAAAGACCCCGUGAACCUUUACUGCAGCUUGACACUGAACUUUGACCUUACUUGUGUAGGAUAGGUGGGAGGCUUUGAAGCUGGAACGCUAGUUCCAGUGGAGCCGUCCUUGAAAUACCACCCUGGUAAUGUUGAGGUUCUAACUCUGUCCCGUGAUCCGGGACGAGGACCGUGUCUGGUGGGUAGUUUGACUGGGGCGGUCUCCUCCUAAAGAGUAACGGAGGAGUACGAAGGUGCGCUCAGCGUGGUCGGAAAUCACGCGUAGAGUAUAAAGGCAAAAGCGCGCUUAACUGCGAGACCCACAAGUCGAGCAGGUACGAAAGUAGGUCUUAGUGAUCCGGUGGUUCUGUAUGGAAGGGCCAUCGCUCAACGGAUAAAAGGUACUCUGGGGAUAACAGGCUGAUACCGCCCAAGAGUUCAUAUCGACGGCGGUGUUUGGCACCUCGAUGUCGGCUCAUCUCAUCCUGGGGCUGAAGCAGGUCCCAAGGGUAUGGCUGUUCGCCAUUUAAAGAGGUACGCGAGCUGGGUUUAGAACGUCGUGAGACAGUUCGGUCCCUAUCUACCGUGGGCGCUGGAAAUUUGAGAGGAUCUGCUCCUAGUACGAGAGGACCAGAGUGGACGAACCUCUGGUGUACCGGUUGUGACGCCAGUCGCAUCGCCGGGUAGCUAUGUUCGGAAGGGAUAACCGCUGAAAGCAUCUAAGCGGGAAGCCUACCUCAAGAUAAGAUUUCCCUAGGACUUUAUGUCCUCUAAAGAGCCGUUCGAGACUAGGACGUUGAUAGGUUGGAUGUGGAAGCAUAGUGAUAUGUGAAGCUGACCAAUACUAAUUGCUCGUGAGGCUUGACUAUACAACACCCAAGCAGUUG
This 2918-nucleotide ribosomal RNA is filed under the name Acinetobacter baumannii. RNAcentral's name for it is "bacterial LSU rRNA". It matches the Rfam family "Bacterial large subunit ribosomal RNA". Lineage: Bacteria; Pseudomonadati; Pseudomonadota; Gammaproteobacteria; Moraxellales; Moraxellaceae. The record is from RNAcentral.